GAAUUUUCCGCAAUGGGCGAAAGCCUGAUCCAGCAAUGCCGCGUGAGUGAUGAAGGCCUUAGGGUUGUAAAGCUCUUUUACUGGGAAUGAUAAUGACAGUACCCAGAGAAUAAGCUCCGGCUAACUCCGUGCCAGCAGCCGCGGUAAUACGGAGGGAGCUAGCGUUGUUCGGAAUUACUGGGCGUAAAGCGCGCGUAGGCGGUCGAUCAAGUCAGAGGUGAAAUCCCGGGGCUCAACCCCGGAACUGCCUUUGAAACUAGUAGACUAGAAUCUUGGAGAGGUCAGUGGAAUUCCGAGUGUAGAGGUGAAAUUCGUAGAUAUUCGGAAGAACACCAGUGGCGAAGGCGACUGACUGGACAAGUAUUGACGCUGAGGUGCGAAAGCGUGGGGAGCAAACAGG
This 400-nucleotide ribosomal RNA is filed under the name uncultured bacterium. Its description in RNAcentral is "bacterial SSU rRNA". It matches the Rfam family "Bacterial small subunit ribosomal RNA", at positions 359 to 776 of the family's 1533-position model. The record is from RNAcentral.